Molecule: long non-coding RNA, 1384 nt
Organism: Salvia miltiorrhiza (redroot sage)
Lineage: Eukaryota; Viridiplantae; Streptophyta; Magnoliopsida; Lamiales; Lamiaceae
Exons: 2
Source: RefSeq, a predicted model, not a curated record
CACUCUCUCUUAUGAUUAUUUUUACUGAACGAAUGAAGUAUUAAUUUCUGUACAUAUUUUGAUUGUGUUGCUUUGUUCUCCAACUUUCUUAUUAUUGUAUGUACACACUUGGGGCGUGUUUGAAAAGUGUGUUGAGUUAACGACAUUUUCACAAAUCCAAUGAAAUGUUAUUGGGUUUGGGCCGGUAACGCUGUAUGGACUCAGUGUUUGGUAGCAGUUUGUUAGAGGGUCAAAAUUGUAGUACGUGAGGCCAUUUGAUAACACAUGAUAUUGUCAAGAAAUUAGGAUAAAAUGUCGAAAAUAUCCUUAAGAUUAGGGGAUGAGAAAUCAUUCUCUUUCUCUGGUCAGAAUUGGCAGAAAAUCACUGACAUGAAGAAGAAGAACUAUUCUCUCUCUCUUUCUCUGUCUCUCUCUCCCUCCCCGUCGUGAACCGCUCCGGCGAGACUGUGUCCGGCUGAGGGUGCCGCCUCUCGUCUGUUCCCCCCCUAUCGAUGCCUUGGUCAAUUUCUCAACCAAGCAACCUCGCUCAACUCUCUCUCUCUCUGGGGUCGGAAGUGACCAGGAAAGAAAUUUGCAGAAAUUGAAAAAGAAGGUGUCGACGGGAGUGGCGAGAAAUUUGCAGAUUUGGAAUUAAAGCAUCAGUUACUUAAUUAUGGUAAAAACUCAAAAGCAGAAACCACGAAGAAAUUUGGGAGUGAUGAGAAAUUUGCAGAUUUGGUGCUUAUAUGAAUUUGGGCGUGACGGAAAGAUAAUUUGGCGGAUUGUGGGAGUAGCAAUGUUGGUUGAAGUUGUAGAAGCAGUUUGAGCGAGGUUUCUCAAAUCGGAGGCGCGUGGAAGGUCGAAUGGCGAAUCAAAUAUUUUGAAUUUAGCUUUAUUUAAAGAUGUUAUUUUGAGUAAAGUAUUUUAAAUAAAAAUUUAUAUCAUGAUUUUCUCACUAAAUAUUUAUUUAUAUUCAUAGUUUUUUCGCACAAAUAUACAUUGAAAUUUUAGUUAGAUUUGGGUGUCAUAGCAAGGGAAGUGGGCGACGAGGGCGAGGGCGGGGGAUGGAGGCAGCGGCCCAAUUGACGGUGGUCGACGAUUACCGUGUCAGAGGAUGGAGGUGGCGUCCCAAUUGACGAUGGUCGAAUGGAGGCGGCGCAUGCAGAAGUUGCGCAACCAAUUCCCAAACUUUCAAUCUGCUCAAAUGGGAGAAAUUGAGGCAAUUAUGUGAGAAAGAAACAUAACCAGAGUUACUGUAGAAGUCUAACAUCGCUACCGGGGCUCCCCCGCAUCUGGAUCCUCGUUUGAAUAGUAUUUUUGGAUCGGGUCAAUGUUUUUGUGCGGGCUUCGCAUAUUGUGUGGCUUGAUUAUCAAACGUGAAAAUAAGCCAAGUUAGCGUCCAAAA